Crotalus tigris (Tiger rattlesnake) is the source of this 1119-nucleotide long non-coding RNA. RefSeq lists it as uncharacterized. Lineage: Eukaryota; Metazoa; Chordata; Lepidosauria; Squamata; Viperidae. The record is from RefSeq and is a predicted model, not a curated record. The transcript is spliced from 3 exons.
GGGAGGGAGGAAGAAAAGAAGGAAGGAAGGAAGGAAGGAAGGAAGGAAGGAAGGAAGGAAGGAAGGAAGGAAGGAAAGGAUAAUUGAGGAGUUAUAUAAUAUAAACCUUCACCCAGGCAACUGGGAGAAGGAAGAGAGCAUUUAGAAUUUGUGUGUAAUUUUCUUUUAAAUUCUGUACAUCUUCUUUCUUUUGCCUUCCUCCCCCCCCCCUUUCCAAAGACUCUUUUCCUGUUCCUUUCUCGGACUUGGAAGUGAGAUGGGAUGUGUGUGAAACCAGAUGGGAAAAAAGGAAGUCUGCCUGCUUGGGAAGAUUCGUUAACACUCAGCUCUUAAAUGGUUGUUUAAUUGUAACAAAAUUUAUGCUUUUCCCCCUUUUCAGCUUAAAGCCCUACGCUGGAACCAAGUUAACUUGCAGUUCUCCUCUCUUCCAUUUCCGUCCUCCAAGCCUCGCUGUUAAUCUGCCCUUCUGUUUUUCAGUACCUGUUUUGUACACCUCAAUGGGCCUGGCAAGGGUUAAAUCACUCUCCAGGAACUUCCUCGCCUUAUGAAUAAAAACAGCUUUAUCCAGAGGAUCGGAACAAGAACAACGGUCGGCAGCCGUCAGCUCUGGGCUGUUUGAACUAUCUCACCUUUUCUUCUAAUUCAGACAUUCAUUGGGCUCACAGGCUCCUUCCAGGAAACUUUUAAAAUCUGCGGAGGGAAGUUUAAAAACAAAGAUACAGGAGAAAAAAAAAAACCACCCGUUAUAUAGGUGUCGUACUUUACAGACGCCAAGACAGAUCGAAACCAUAACUAUUUAACAUCAAACCUCCACAAAGCAACUUUUUUCAGAAGUUUUCUCAGGCACCAAAUGGCAGGAAAAGGGAAAAAAAAUCUAAGGAGCACCUGCUGUCAUACACACCCAAUUCCACAUGGACCCUUGACCCAUCUACAUACAUAGUCUCAUCCUGCCGCCGAACUCUAUUACACCACCAGCCCAAAGGUCUCACGGAUCCCCCCCAGCGCUCCAGACUGAUCAUUCGCCAUGUAGACACAAACACUCGCCUUUUGUAUUUGUGAGAACGCAUCAACUUCUCUCCAGCCAAACCUCUCCCUCCCCAAAAUAAAAGGUUUUAUAAA